This 440-nucleotide ribosomal RNA is filed under the name uncultured bacterium. Its description in RNAcentral is "partial 16S ribosomal RNA". It matches the Rfam family "Bacterial small subunit ribosomal RNA", at positions 338 to 795 of the family's 1533-position model. The record is from RNAcentral.
CCUACGGGGGGCAGCAGUGGGGAAUAUGGCACAAUGGGCGAAAGCCUGGUGCGGCGACGCCGCGUGAGGGAAGAAGGCCUUCGGGUCGUAAACCUCUGUCCUAUGGGAAGGAGAAUGACGGUACCAUAGGAGGAAGCCCCGGCUAACUACGUGCCAGCAGCCGCGGUAAUACGUAGGGGGCGAGCGUUGUCCGGAAUGACUGGGCGUAAAGGGUACGUAGGCGGCUAGAUAAGUAAUAUGUGAAAGGCAUAGGCUUUACCUGCGUAAGCAUUUGAAACUGUCUAGCUGGCGUCAAGGAGAGGAAAGUGGAAUCCCUGGUGUAACGGUGAAAUGCGUAGAUGUCCGGAGGAAUACCAGUUGCGACGGUGUCUCUCUCGUCUUAGACUGACGCUGCGGUACCAAAGCGGGUGGCGCAAGCCGGAUUAGAUACCCGUGUAAUC